CCCCUAAGGCGAGGCCGAAAGGCGUAGUCGAUGGGAAACAGGUUAAUAUUCCUGUACUUGGUGUUACUGCGAAGGGGGGACGGAGAAGGCUAUGUUGGCCGGGCGACGGUUGUCCCGGUUUAAGCGUGUAGGCUGGUUUUCCAGGCAAAUCCGGAAAAUCAAGGCUGAGGCGUGAUGACGAGGCACUACGGUGCUGAAGCAACAAAUGCCCUGCUUCCAGGAAAAGCCUCUAAGCAUCAGGUAACAUCAAAUCGUACCCCAAACCGACACAGGUGGUCAGGUAGAGAAUACCAAGGCGCUUGAGAGAACUCGGGUGAAGGAACUAGGCAAAAUGGUGCCGUAACUUCGGGAGAAGGCACGCUGAUACGUAGGUGAAGUCCCUCGCGGAUGGAGCUGAAAUCAGUCGAAGAUACCAGCUGGCUGCAACUGUUUAUUAAAAACACAGCACUGUGCAAACACGAAAGUGGACGUAUACGGUGUGACGCCUGCCCGGUGCCGGAAGGUUAAUUGAUGGGGUUAGCGGUAACGCGAAGCUCUUGAUCGAAGCCCCGGUAAACGGCGGCCGUAACUAUAACGGUCCUAAGGUAGCGAAAUUCCUUGUCGGGUAAGUUCCGACCUGCACGAAUGGCGUAAUGAUGGCCAGGCUGUCUCCACCCGAGACUCAGUGAAAUUGAACUCGCUGUGAAGAUGCAGUGUACCCGCGGCAAGACGGAAAGACCCCGUGAACCUUUACUAUAGCUUGACACUGAACAUUGAGCCUUGAUGUGUAGGAUAGGUGGGAGGCUUUGAAGUGUGGACGCCAGUCUGCAUGGAGCCGACCUUGAAAUACCACCCUUUAAUGUUUGAUGUUCUAACGUUGGCCCCUAAUCGGGGUUGCGGACAGUGUCUGGUGGGUAGUUUGACUGGGGCGGUCUCCUCCUAAAGAGUAACGGAGGAGCACGAAGGUUGGCUAAUCCUGGUCGGACAUCAGGAGGUUAGUGCAAUGGCAUAAGCCAGCUUGACUGCGAGCGUGACGGCGCGAGCAGGUGCGAAAGCAGGUCAUAGUGAUCCGGUGGUUCUGAAUGGAAGGGCCAUCGCUCAACGGAUAAAAGGUACUCCGGGGAUAACAGGCUGAUACCGCCCAAGAGUUCAUAUCGACGGCGGUGUUUGGCACCUCGAUGUCGGCUCAUCACAUCCUGGGGCUGAAGUAGGUCCCAAGGGUAUGGCUGUUCGCCAUUUAAAGUGGUACGCGAGCUGGGUUUAGAACGUCGUGAGACAGUUCGGUCCCUAUCUGCCGUGGGCGCUGGAGAACUGAGGGGGGCUGCUCCUAGUACGAGAGGACCGGAGUGGACGCAUCACUGGUGUUCGGGUUGUCAUGCCAAUGGCACUGCCCGGUAGCUAAAUGCGGAAGAGAUAAGUGCUGAAAGCAUCUAAGCACGAAACUUGCCCCGAGAUGAGUUCUCCCUGACUCCUUGAGAGUCCUGAAGGAACGUUGAAGACGACGACGUUGAUAGGCCGGGUGUGUAAGCGCAGCGAUGCGUUGAGCUAACCGGUACUAAUGAACCGUGAGGCUUAACCU
Molecule: ribosomal RNA, 1558 nt
Filed under: Escherichia coli 5-366-08_S3_C3
Lineage: Bacteria; Pseudomonadati; Pseudomonadota; Gammaproteobacteria; Enterobacterales; Enterobacteriaceae
Description: bacterial LSU rRNA
Rfam family: Bacterial large subunit ribosomal RNA
Source: RNAcentral